UCCUCGAGAUAGGAGCCGAUCAGCCGG
This 27-nucleotide small RNA is filed under the name Bombyx mori (domestic silkworm). RNAcentral's name for it is "ovarian small RNA-27800". The record is from RNAcentral. Lineage: Eukaryota; Metazoa; Arthropoda; Insecta; Lepidoptera; Bombycidae.